AUAAUAAUGUCUUUGCUUGAAGAAUUGUAGGCUCAAAACAGUUUAAAACAACUACACCUUGGAAUGUGAGAACAUAAUCCCGACCUUAUUUUUAUACGUUGUUUGCAUUGAGAUUAAAUGUAAAUAUUUGUUGAAUUGACAAGAAUUAUUUGGUUUGUAUUACCUUUUUACAGUAACUGAAUACAAAUGAUAAAAUUAUGUAGUCAAUCAACAUUCGUAUUUCCUACAUUCAAUGUAAAUACUGUAAAAUACAAAAACAUUUUGAAUUUUUCCCCAUGCAAGAGGUAUAGUAUAGAUGGACACCACAUAUUUUCUCAUAAAAUAUAGUAUAAAACUAUAAAUUUUAGCAAAAAAAAUGUAAAAAUAUCCAACAACAAUUUAAAUUUAUGUGUACUAAAAAAUGAAAAAAUCUAAAAUAAAUAAAUGUAUCGCAUAUAAAAUUUUGGGUUGAAAAUUACCCUUAAAACACAAUUUAAAAACUGAACAUAACAGAUUAGAUAUGUUAUAUUAGGACUAUAACUAUAUUAGGACUUACAGCAUUCAAGCUAGAAGAUUCAGGGUGUGAAGCA
Molecule: long non-coding RNA, 569 nt
Organism: Ipomoea nil (Japanese morning glory)
Lineage: Eukaryota; Viridiplantae; Streptophyta; Magnoliopsida; Solanales; Convolvulaceae
Exons: 3
Source: RefSeq, a predicted model, not a curated record